GAUGAACGCUGGCGGCGUGCCUAAUACAUGCAAGUCGAGCGAACAGACGAGGAGCUUGCUCCUCUGACGUUAGCGGCGGACGGGUGAGUAACACGUGGAUAACCUACCUAUAAGACUGGGAUAACUUCGGGAAACCGGAGCUAAUACCGGAUAAUAUAUUAAACCGCAUGGUUCAAUAGUGAAAGACGGUUUUGCUGUCACUUAUAGAUGGAUCCGCGCCGCAUUAGCUAGUUGGUAAGGUAACGGCUUACCAAGGCAACGAUGCGUAGCCGACCUGAGGGGGGAGUGGGCACACGAGGAAAUGAGCAAGGGACCAGACACAUGAGGGAGGGCGGGAUGGGGAAGUUUCCCAAAGGGCAGAAAGCCUGAGGGGGCAAAGCAGCGGGAAUGAUGAAGGUCUGCGGAACGAAAAACGUUGUUAGUAGGGAAGAACAAAGGGGUAAGUAAAGAUGCCGGUCUGGACGGUACCUAAGCAAAAAGCCCCGGCUAACUACGU
RNAcentral lists this ribosomal RNA (496 nucleotides) under uncultured bacterium. Its description in RNAcentral is "partial 16S ribosomal RNA". It matches the Rfam family "Bacterial small subunit ribosomal RNA", at positions 28 to 506 of the family's 1533-position model. The record is from RNAcentral.